RNAcentral lists this ribosomal RNA (390 nucleotides) under Acanthamoeba sp. RNAcentral's name for it is "SSU rRNA". The stretch from base 1 to 332 matches the Rfam family "Eukaryotic small subunit ribosomal RNA", at positions 796 to 1116 of the family's 1831-position model. Lineage: Eukaryota; Discosea; Longamoebia; Acanthamoebidae. The record is from RNAcentral.
CGAAUACAUUAGCAUGGGAUAAUGGAAUAGGACCCUGUCCUCCUAUUUUCAGUUGGUUUUGGCAGCGCGAGGACUAGGGUAAUGAUUAAUAGGGAUAGUUGGGGGCAUUAAUAUUUAAUUGUCAGAGGUGAAAUUCUUGGAUUUAUGAAAGAUUAACUUCUGCGAAAGCAUCUGCCAAGGAUGUUUUCAUUAAUCAAGAACGAAAGUUAGGGGAUCGAAGACGAUCAGAUACCGUCGUAGUCUUAACCAUAAACGAUGCCGACCAGCGAUUAGGAGACGUUGAAUACAAAACACCACCAUCGGUUGCGGUCGUCCUUGGCGUCUCGGUUUCGGCCGGGGCGCGGGGAUGGCUUAGCCCGGUGGCACCGGUGAAUGACUCCCUAGCAGCUU